CAGCUAACUCGCGAGAGUAUGCAAAUACUCAAAAAGACCAUCCUCAGUUCGGAUUGGAGUCUGCAACUCGACUCCAUGAAGUUGGAAUCGCUAGUAAUCGCGGAUCAGCAUGCCGCGGUGAAUACGUUCCCGGGCCUU
RNAcentral lists this ribosomal RNA (138 nucleotides) under uncultured Syntrophus sp. RNAcentral describes it as "partial 16S ribosomal RNA". It matches the Rfam family "Bacterial small subunit ribosomal RNA", at positions 1247 to 1382 of the family's 1533-position model. The record is from RNAcentral. Lineage: Bacteria; Pseudomonadati; Thermodesulfobacteriota; Syntrophia; Syntrophales; Syntrophaceae.